This 255-nucleotide ribosomal RNA is filed under the name Klebsiella pneumoniae. RNAcentral's name for it is "partial 16S ribosomal RNA". It matches the Rfam family "Bacterial small subunit ribosomal RNA", at positions 126 to 383 of the family's 1533-position model. Lineage: Bacteria; Pseudomonadati; Pseudomonadota; Gammaproteobacteria; Enterobacterales; Enterobacteriaceae. The record is from RNAcentral.
CUGCCUGAUGGAGGGGGAUAACUACUGGAAACGGUAGCUAAUACCGCAUAACGUCGCAAGACCAAAGUGGGGGACCUUCGGGCCUCAUGCCAUCAGAUGUGCCCAGAUGGGAUUAGCUAGUAGGUGGAGUAAUGGCUCACCUAGGCGACGAUCCCUAGCUGGUCUGAGAGGAUGACCAGCCACACUGGAACUGAGACACGGUCCAGACUCCUACGGGAGGCAGCAGUGGGGAAUAUUGCACAAUGGGCGCAAGCC